AUAAUGAUUUUUUUUAAUAAUCCUUAAUAAUAU
This 33-nucleotide transfer RNA is filed under the name Gonatus californiensis. Its description in RNAcentral is "partial tRNA-Lys". The record is from RNAcentral. Lineage: Eukaryota; Metazoa; Mollusca; Cephalopoda; Oegopsida; Gonatidae.